CUCGUAGGCGGUUCGUCGCGUCCGGUGUGAAAGUCCAUCGCUUAACGGUGGAUCUGCGCCGGGUACGGGCGGGCUGGAGUGCGGUAGGGGAGACUGGAAUUCCCGGUGUAACGGUGGAAUGUGUAGAUAUCGGGAAGAACACCAAUGGCGAAGGCAGGUUUCUGGGCCGUUACUGACGCUGAGGAGCGAAAGCGUGGGGAGCGAACA
RNAcentral lists this ribosomal RNA (207 nucleotides) under uncultured bacterium. RNAcentral describes it as "partial 16S ribosomal RNA". It matches the Rfam family "Bacterial small subunit ribosomal RNA", at positions 568 to 774 of the family's 1533-position model. The record is from RNAcentral.